This 447-nucleotide ribosomal RNA is filed under the name uncultured bacterium. RNAcentral describes it as "bacterial SSU rRNA". It matches the Rfam family "Bacterial small subunit ribosomal RNA", at positions 355 to 825 of the family's 1533-position model. The record is from RNAcentral.
UGGGGAAUCUUGGACAAUGGGCGACAAGCCUGAUCCAGCCAUGCCGCGUGAGUGAUGAAGGCCUUAGGGUUGUAAAACUCUUUCGCCGAGGACGAUAAUGACGGUACUCGGAGAAGAAGCUCCGGCUAACUUCGUGCCAGCAGCCGCGGUAAUACGAAGGGGGCUAGCGUUGUUCGGAUUUACUGGGCGUAAAGCGCGUGUAGGCGGGUCGUUAAGUUGGGGGUGAAAUCCCGAGGCUCAACCUCGGAACUGCCUUCAAAACUGGCGACCUGGACCUAAGUAGAGGCAAGUGGAAUUGCGAGUGUAGAGGUGAAAUUCGUAGAUAUUCGCAGGAACACCAGUGGCGAAGGCGACUUGCUGGACUUAUGGUGACGCUGAGACGCGAAAGCGUGGGGAGCAAACAGGAUUAGAUACCCUGUAGUCCCUGAGCGGGCUGGCAAGGCGCAU